Quercus lobata is the source of this 2915-nucleotide RNA transcript. RefSeq lists it as uncharacterized. The transcript is spliced from 5 exons. Lineage: Eukaryota; Viridiplantae; Streptophyta; Magnoliopsida; Fagales; Fagaceae. The record is from RefSeq and is a predicted model, not a curated record.
AAGAAAGAGAGAGAAAUUCAGUAAUUCUCACACACAAAAAACCUCUUUGGCUCUCUCUCUAGUCUCUAUACCCUUCUUCUCCACAUCCACAACACCUCUCUAUCUUCCUCUCUGAUGUUUAGGGUUUUUCUUUUCAAGGUAGCAUAGGAGUUUCAGACUAGUAGCUAGGUAAGAGAGAGAAAGAGAAGUGAGUAUAGGAAGCUAAGGAAGGUUUUGUUUUGGUUUUGAGUUUGUGCAAUGGCGACCGCACCAGUGAAGUCUCAGCCACUUCACAACUUCGCGCUCCCCUUUUUGAAAUGGGGAGGAAAGAGCCACACCAACAGCACAACCCGUUGCCGACGCACGGUUUCUCCUGCUUCGUCCGAACCCGACUCCGACUACCACCACGACUCGGACCCGCCGUCUAGGGUCGGAUCCCGGUCCGCUCGCAACCGAUUCGGAUUCUCUCCUUGCUCUUUCAACAACAACAACAACAGCAACAAGCAGGCGGCAGAGCAUUCGGGGGCCGAUGACGUGGCGGAUGUGGAAGCAGCGGCGGAGGCGGAGGAAGGGGUGCAGAAGCCGUGGAAGUUGAGGCCGAGGAAGGCGGUGCAGAGGAGCGCGAUGGUGGAGAUCGAGAGUACGACGACGGUGCUUGCGAUUCCAGCUCCACAGGCGCAGAACGAGAAUCCGAAGUCGAUGAGGCUGAGAGGAGAUCAGUCGCAGAGUACGGAGACGAAGAAGAAGAAGGAGAAGAACAAGUUCUGGAUCGCACUCUCUAAGGAAGAAAUUGAGGAAGACGUUUUCAUCAUGACUGGCUCCCGCCCAGCUCGCCGCCCCAGAAAACGGCCCAAGAAUGUCCAGAAACAGCUCGACAGUGUUUUUCCGGGGUUGUGGCUGGUGGGGACCACGGCCGAUUCUUACCGGCUGGCCGAAGCUCCGGCGAAGAGGUAGAUAUGCUCACAGCUCAUGCUUGCUUACUUAAAUUCCUCAUACAAAGGGGUAGAUAUGACACAGACAGAAAAAAAAUUGUGAUUUUCUGAAAGCUUGGUAAGGUUAGAGAAAGAAAUUGCGCCUGCGAAGUUGACACCUCGAUUUGAGGCUUCCCUACAUCGUUGGGGGGCAGAGAGUAUCAAGGGUGUAGUUUUUUUGCAGAACCGUUAUUCCCAUACAAGAUUUAUUAUUGCAGGCACUGCUUGCUUCCUUGGUUCUCGAAGAGCCAUCUCCCUUUCAAUUGGGCUUCAUCAAAAACAAGAGGUUGAAUAUUUAUAUGUUGACUGACUGCAUUCCUCUUUUCUAUUCUUUCAUAUUUCAUGUUGGUAAUCACAUAAUUCACAUCCACUUUUAACAUUGAUUGGAAGUAUUCUGAGCAAUAAUAAGAGUUUAAAAUUGGUCAAAGGAUUAACAUUUCAGGCAUAUAUUGGGUUUAAAGAAUUCUGAUGUUUAGGAAGGUUGGAAAAUUAUUAUUAAAUUUUCUAUAGAUUUCUGUUCUAGUUUUUGUACAUUUAUCAUGCUGGGGAUGGCAUCUUCCAGGGGUAGUAUUUUUUUUAUAAAACUUCUAGGCUUGAAUCUGGUAAGUACUGUUUCCUGAUUAGGAUUUCAAGUUUCUGAGUAAGCAAUUAUAUAUAUAUUUUAAGUUUAGAGUAAAUAAAUGCUCAUUAGUUUUAUCAACCUAAUGGUAUUUACGUUUUUCUUGAUUAAUAUGGUUUUUUGGUCCAUAUUUUACCCUUGAAGCUGUUAACUAUUGUCUACAUGCUUGAUUUUCUCGCUAUUACAAUUUUACCAAGCAAGAUGCUAGCUAGCUGCUGCUAGUAUAUGAUGGUAACAUUUAAAACUUGAAGACUUGGUUCUAAGUUCAUGUGUCACCAUUGAACAUCAUCUUCAUUGGUUUCCUUCCUGGCUGACUUCCUUGAACGAAGUUUCAGCUUUUUUUUUGGGGGGGUUGGGGGUGGUCUUUUAUCUGCAAAAUAUUGCCUUUCUACCUAGUUUCUUACCCGUCCCCAGUCAAAAUAUCCAACCUCAAAAUAUCCAUGGUUGGAUAUGAUGCCGUGUAUGUUGGCCUCUUUUUGCCCGAGUUACCUGCAAUGGUGAACUAACCGUUGUGCCAUAUAGAUUGUAUGUAUAGUGAUGCCAGAUUGUAGAUUGCAUUUGACUGGUGAAAUACAUAAUUUCACCAAUUAAAUCCUCAUGUGGAGAAACGUUCUAUACAUACAUACAUAUAUAUAUAUAUAUAUAUAUAUAUAUGUAUGUAUGUAUAUAUACACCUGAAUUUGGUAAGUUAAGAUCUGAUGGUUGAAAUAUUUAACUCUAUGCUUAUUCAUUUUUCUUAGGUGAUGCGUUCUUCCCAGUCUCCUUCGUUAAUAAUUCACAGCACUUACCUUUUUCCAGCCAGUCCUAAGAUAAUAACACAAUUAAUCUGGAAUAUUUGCCCCGGUCUCCUCAUUCUUUUUUUCCAAGUUUGAUAUCAAAUACCAUUUAUUAAGUCUCUACCUGAAUCCUGUCUUUGUUAAGUCACAUUUAUUGGAAAUUCAGUUGUGAUUCCUAUUGGCCUGGUCUUGCUGUUUACACCAAACACGAUAAGUUUAGAAACUUAUGACAGUGACUUCGUCUAUUAAAAUGAUGAUAUGUUUCCUUUUUCUAUUGCUCUUCUUUCUAACAAUGUUGAUUCAUUUGCAUUCAGCAAUAGAAAUGAAAGCAUCUGGAAUUAAUCGUUAUUUCUAGACAAUCAUGCUUAUCUCAAAGUUGGAAAUCUCAUUCUGAAUAGCCCUGAUGAAUUGGAGCAAGCAAUUCCAUCACAGACUUGAGACGCAAGCUUGGGAACCUAGGUUUUGAACUUGUGGAAUCACCCUUGCUCAUGCAAGGUAAUGAAUAUACACAUUGUUAUAUGACUAAAAAAGUGAUUUUCGCAUGAAUUAUUUCUAGCUCAAGUUAUCUCA